This 331-nucleotide ribosomal RNA is filed under the name uncultured bacterium. Its description in RNAcentral is "bacterial SSU rRNA". It matches the Rfam family "Bacterial small subunit ribosomal RNA", at positions 29 to 353 of the family's 1533-position model. RNAcentral also lists the same sequence under 1 other name. The record is from RNAcentral.
AACGAACGCUGGCGGCGCGUUUUAAGCAUGCAAGUCGAACGGUAGGGUGGUGCUUGCACCAUCUGAGAGUGGCGGACGGGUGAGUAACGCGUAGAUAAUCUGCCUGUUGGUUGGGGAUAGCUUGUGGAAACACAGGGUAAUACCGAAUAAGAUCUUUUUCCGUGAAGGGGAUAGAUGAAAGAGGCUUCGGCCUCGCCGAUGGAUGAGUCUGCGUCUGAUUAGCUUGUUGGUGGGGUAAAGGCUCACCAAGGCGACGAUCAGUAGCCGGCCUGAGAGGGUGACCGGCCACAUUGGGACUGAGACACGGCCCAGACUCCUACGGGAGGCAGCA